AAGUGCAAUUGAGAUUGGCUAGGGGUUAAACGAUGGAGAAUAGACGGUCAGUGAACAGUCCCAGAAGAAUACUGAGCUUCUCCCGCAAUCGAAGAGCCCAAGUCUUCUUUCAGGACCCUCAUCAUGACAAUCUGCAGCGUCCCAAACCCGAUGAUGCUGGUCCCAAACCCUCCGAGGUUUACGGCUUCGUGGGCUCUAUUACAACUGCUGUUGCUCUUGUUGUUUUCCUGGUGUGGGCAUAUGUUCCAGAAAACUGGCUACAUACUGUUGGGAUCUAUUACUAUCCAAGCAGGUAUUGGGCAAUAGCAGCACCAACUUAUGCUAUGGUGACACUAGUAUUGGUGAUUGUAUUUUACAUCGGCAUCAACUUCAUGGUGACCCCUCCCCCAACUUCCUUCAACACAAUAUUUGACGAGCACACCAGGAAUCCUGUGAGCUUGGUCCCUUCUACAGAAGAAUACGAGUCUCCUAUUCCUCCAAUGUUUGAUAUCAGCAUUAGCCAAAUCAAUGAUGCUAUGUUUAGUGAUCCUACAUAAGAAUUGCGUCUUGACAUGUUUUUACACUUCAGGGUUGCAGCACAAUGUAAUAUGACAAUCUUGCAAAGUGCACGGUGGAAAACUUGAAAACAGGUGUAUGUAUGGCUUCUGAUUUCUACUGUGAGAUGACUUUUCACAGCUGAAUUUGCUUCAGAAGAACACACUCUAAAGACAAUGGCAAAAGUAAGAUGAUUCAAAUAAGAAGACUGCAGUAGCUUGGUUUCAGCGUUUCAUGUGCCUACAAGUUUUGAGACUUAUCAAGGAUCAAGAGGUAGAAAACAUCGCAAUGCAACGGGUGCUCAUUUUGCUUUUUCGUCCUUGAGUACCAGAAUAGUGACCAACUAUUUGAAAAAACAUUUCCUUGACAGAGAUUGAAUAAAAUUACGGCAUAAGAACAUGGUUUAGCCAAGAUUAUGGUAAAAUUCCAGGCCGCUGGGCGUUUUUAAACUCUAAAUGUCAACGCUUGCUUAGAUCAUGGUAUACGUGCUUACUGCCUUACUGUGCUUACUGCGGAUAGUUAGGCGUUUUUGUACUUCAAGCUACAACAACAAUGGGUUUGCAAAUUGCAACUGAGUGACAAAUUUGCUGCAGAAAGAUUCGUAUUAAAAUAUUAAGAACUGACAAAUUGAUAUAGGACA
RNA transcript from Daucus carota subsp. sativus, 1174 nucleotides. It is a transcript of the gene named phosphatidylinositol N-acetylglucosaminyltransferase subunit P, with no coding region annotated. The record is from RefSeq and is a predicted model, not a curated record. The transcript is spliced from 6 exons. NCBI's taxonomy places the organism in Eukaryota, Viridiplantae, Streptophyta, Magnoliopsida, Apiales, Apiaceae.